UCUAAUUUUUAUACACAAAUUGUACUCCAAACUCUAAAAUUUAUAAUCCUAGCUUCUAAUCUCCGAAUGCCUUCUUUGAAGUUACCAAAAUCCUUGUUAAGGUCGUAGGCAACCUCCUCAAAGCCCAUUGGGCAUGGUAUUUGACUAAUAGGGAUGAAGUUCUCCAUUCCUUGCCUUCAUCCAUCCAUGCCUUACUUUCAUCCCUUCUAAU
This 211-nucleotide long non-coding RNA is filed under the name Physcomitrium patens. RNAcentral's name for it is "long non-coding RNA (PPAT_LNC000113)". Lineage: Eukaryota; Viridiplantae; Streptophyta; Bryopsida; Funariales; Funariaceae. The record is from RNAcentral.